RNAcentral lists this transfer RNA (75 nucleotides) under Candidatus Kaiserbacteria bacterium RIFCSPHIGHO2_01_FULL_48_10. Its description in RNAcentral is "tRNA-Arg". It matches the Rfam family "tRNA". From Rfam's summary of the family: Transfer RNA (tRNA) molecules are approximately 80 nucleotides in length. Their secondary structure includes four short double-helical elements and three loops (D, anti-codon, and T loops). Further hydrogen bonds mediate the characteristic L-shaped molecular structure. tRNAs have two regions of fundamental functional importance: the anti-codon, which is responsible for specific mRNA codon recognition, and the 3' end, to which the tRNAs corresponding amino acid is attached (by aminoacyl-tRNA synthetases). tRNAs cope with the degeneracy of the genetic code in two manners: having more than one tRNA (with a specific anti-codon) for a particular amino acid; and 'wobble' base-pairing, i.e. permitting non-standard base-pairing at the 3rd anti-codon position. Lineage: Bacteria; Candidatus Kaiseribacteriota. The record is from RNAcentral.
GGCCCCGUAGUUCAAUGGAUAGAACAGGAGACUUCUAAGCUCUUGAUCGAGGUUCGAUUCCUCGCGGGGCCACCA